Molecule: ribosomal RNA, 116 nt
Filed under: Pteropus alecto (black flying fox)
Lineage: Eukaryota; Metazoa; Chordata; Mammalia; Chiroptera; Pteropodidae
Source: RNAcentral
GUCUGCGGCCAUGCCACCCUGAACAAGCCCGAUGUCUGAUCUCGGGAGGUAAGCAGGGUUGGGCCUGGUUAGUACUUGGAUGGGAGACCACCUAGGAAGAGCAGGUGCUGUAUGUG